This 440-nucleotide ribosomal RNA is filed under the name uncultured bacterium. Its description in RNAcentral is "bacterial SSU rRNA". It matches the Rfam family "Bacterial small subunit ribosomal RNA", at positions 338 to 771 of the family's 1533-position model. The record is from RNAcentral.
CCUACGGGGGGCUGCAGUCGAGAAUUUUUCUCAAUGGGGGAAACCCUGAAGGAGCGACGCCGCGUGGAGGAUGAAGGUCUUCGGGUUGUAAACUCCUGUCAUUUGGGAACAAGUUGGACGCCGUAACUGCGCGUCCAUUGAUAGUACCAGAAGAGGAAGGGACGGCUAACUCUGUGCCAGCAGCCGCGGUAAUACAGAGGUCUCAAGCGUUGUUCGGAUUCAUUGGGCGUAAAGGGUGUGUAGGUGGCGCGCUAAGUCGGGUGUGAAAUUUCGGAGCUUAACUCCGAAACUGCAUUCGAUACUGGCGUGCUUGAGGACUGGAGAGGAGACUGGAAUUCAUGGUGUAGCAGUGAAAUGCGUAGAGAUCAUGAGGAAGACCAGUGGCGAAGGCGGGUCUCUGGACAGUUCCUGACACUGAGACACGAAGGCCAGGGGAGCAA